UGCAGUCGAACGGACUUAACCAUUAGUUUACUAUUGGAGCGGUUAGUGGCAGACUGGUGAGUAACACGUAAGCAACCUGCCUAUCAGAGGGGAACAACAGUUAGAAAUGACUGCUAAUACCGCAUAUGCCUAAGUACCACAUGGUACAAUAGGGAAAGGAGUAAUCCGCUGAUAGAUGGGCUUGCGUCUGAUUAGCUAGUUGGUGGGGUAAAGGCCUACCAAGGCAACGAUCAGUAGCCGGACUGAGAGGUUGAACGGCCACAUUGGGACUGAGAUACGGCCCAGACUCCUACGGGAGGCAGCAGUCGGGAAUAUUGCGCAAUGGAGGAAACUCUGACGCAGUGACGCCGCGUGCAGGAAGAAGGUUUUCGGAUUGUAAACUGCUUUAGACAGGGAAGAAACAAGACAGUACCUGUAGAAUAAGCUCCGGCUAACUACGUGCCAGCAGCCGCGGUAAUACGUAGGGAGCGAGCGUUAUCCGGAUUUAUUGGGUGUAAAGGGUGCGUAGACGGGAAGAUAAGUUAGUUGUGAAAUCCCUCGGCUUAACUGAGGAACUGCAACUAAAACUGUUUUUCUUGAGUACUGGAGAGGAAAGUGGAAUUCCUAGUGUAGCGGUGAAAUGCGUAGAUAUUAGGAGGAACACCAGUGGCGAAGGCGACUUUCUGGACAGAAACUGACGUUGAGGCACGAAAGUGUGGGGAGCAAACAGGAUUAGAUACCCUGGUAGUCCACACCGUAAACGAUGGAUACUAGGUGUAGG
This 760-nucleotide ribosomal RNA is filed under the name uncultured bacterium. RNAcentral describes it as "bacterial SSU rRNA". It matches the Rfam family "Bacterial small subunit ribosomal RNA", at positions 56 to 826 of the family's 1533-position model. The record is from RNAcentral.